This 1450-nucleotide ribosomal RNA is filed under the name uncultured prokaryote. Its description in RNAcentral is "partial 16S ribosomal RNA". It matches the Rfam family "Bacterial small subunit ribosomal RNA". The record is from RNAcentral.
AGAGUUUGAUCCUGGCUCAGGGUGAACGCUGGCGGCGCGCUUAAUGCAUGCAAGUCGAACGUGCCUUCGGGCAAGUGGCAGACGGCUGAGUAACGCGUGAGUAACGCACCCUUCGGUGGGGUAUAGCCUCGGGAAACUGAGGGUAAUCCCGCAUACGAUCCUUUCCCCCUGGGGAAAGGAUGAAAGCCUUCGGGCGCCGGAGGAGUGGCUCGCGUCCUAUCAGGUAGUUGGUGAGGUAACGGCUCACCAAGCCGAUGACGGGUAGCUGGUCUUAGAGGACGAUCAGCCAGAGGGGGACUGAGACACGGCCCCCACUCCUACGGGAGGCAGCAGCAGGGAAUUUUGGGCAAUGGACGAAAGUCUGACCCAGCGACGUCGCGUGGGGGAUGAAGGCUUUCGGGUCGUAAACCCCUUUUCUCGGGGAAGAGUGAGGACGGUACCCGAGGAAUAAGCCUCGGCUAACUACGUGCCAGCAUCCGCGGUAAUACGUAGGAGGCGAGCGUUGUCCGGAUUUACUGGGCGUAAAGGGCGAGUAGGCGGUCUAUUAAGUCUCAUGUGAAAUCUCCCGGCUUAACUGGGAGGGGUCAUGGGAAACUGGUAGACUUGAGGGCAGUAGAGGAGAGUGGAAUUCCCAGAGUAGCGGUGAUAUGCGUAGAUACUGGGAGGAACACCCGAGGCGAAGGCGACUCUCUGGGCUGUACCUGACGCUGAGGCGCGAAAGCAUGGGGAGCGAACCGGAUUAGAUACCCGGGUAGUCCAUGCCCUAAACGAUGGAUACUAGAUAUGGGGGGUAUCGACCCCCCCCGUGUCGUAGCUAACGUGAUAAGUAUCCCGCCUGGGGAGCACGACCGCAAGGCUAAAACUCAAAGGAAUUGAUGGGCCCCCGCACAAGCAGCGGAGCGUGUGGUUAAAUUCGAUGAUAAGCGAAGAGCCUUACCAGGGCUUGAAAUGCUUCUGUAAUCUCGGGAAACCGAGCCCUCCUUCGGGACAGAUGCAGAGAUGUUGCAUGGCCGUCGUCAGCUCGUGCCGUGAGGUGUUGGGUUAAGUCCCGCAACGAGCGCAACCCUUGUCGUUAGUUGUCUUUUUCUAGCGAGACCGCCCCUGACAAGGGGGAGGAAGGUGGGGAUGACGUCAGGUCAGCACGGCUCUUACGCCCUGGGCUACACACACGCUACAAUGGCCGGUACAGAGGGUUGCGAAGAAGUGAUUCGGAGCUAAUCCCACAAAGCCGGUCUCAGUUGGGAUUGCAGGCUGAAACUCGCCUGCAUGAACGUGGAGUUGCUAGUAAACGCAGGUCAGCACACUGCGUUGAAUACGUUCCCGGGCCUUGUACACACCGCCCGUCACGUCAUGGAAGUCGGUAACACUUGAAGUCGCUAGGCUAACCCUUCGGGGAGGCAGGCGCCGAGGGUGGGAUUGGUAACUGGGACGAAGUCGUAACAAGGUAGCC